ACGCUCGACACCUACGGGAGGCAGCAGUGGGGAAUAUUGCACAAUGGGGGAAACCCUGAUGCAGCGACGCCGCGUGGAGGAAGAAGGUCUUCGGAUUGUAAACUCCUGUUGUUGGGGAAAAAGAGGAUGGUACCCCAACAAGGAAGUGACGGCUAACUACGUGCCAUCAGCCGCGGUAAUCUGAGCGGGCUGGCAAGGC
This 199-nucleotide ribosomal RNA is filed under the name uncultured bacterium. Its description in RNAcentral is "partial 16S ribosomal RNA". It matches the Rfam family "Bacterial small subunit ribosomal RNA", at positions 328 to 539 of the family's 1533-position model. The record is from RNAcentral.